AUUAUAACUUUAAAACAUUCAUCUCUUUCACAUCAGAGAUCAUCCUAAGUUAUAUGUAGGUUUAAAAGCAUUUUAAAGUAUGUUCUAUUUAAUAUAAACCUGCUAUCUAAAAGAUUUUUCAUAUUUUGUGUUUCAAACCUCUCAUAAAAUUUUUUGUGUUUUUCUGCCAUAGUCACUGUGUAUAAAGAUAUUUCUGACAUAACGGGUUUCUAGUACAUAUUUUUAAUCAUAAAUCAUUCCAUCAGGUACUACUGAGAUUUUUCUUUGAGUUUUUUUCCAAAUGAAAUGUCAAUCCAUCUGUUUUUACAUAAAGUAGAUAUUUAUAUUUAAUUUUAAAGUUUAAUUUAUUUUAUAUACCUGUUCAUGCUUGUUUUCUCCUUCCAACACAUGCAUGCUGGGGAUUGAACCUUUCCUGCUGGGCUAUCCCCAGGCCCCGAAGUAGGGAUUUAUGACAUGAAGUCUACUUUGGUGGUACAUUUCACUGCAGACAUAUGCUCUUCCCAUGUUAGUGUCUCCUUAGGAGCUUCUAUUAGGCAGAUUUUGAAAAUAUUAAUUAGGUGGGGUCAAGAGCUAUACUUGAAAGCAAAACAUACUUCUAUGGCUGUAGCCCUCAAAAGUAAGUGAUAUGCCCUCUUUGUUGUAUAUUCGUGAGUGACAUUUCCAUAUCUACUUGGAAAUAUUCACAUUUUAGAGGUCUUAUGGUGCUUAUGAUUUUUCAGACAGUAUUUGAUACUGUUGUGGCUUGUGGCAUAUAACAAAUGACUCCAGGAGAGGUAAGAGAUUCUUUUGGGUUCAUUUUCGUAAUGAGAAGAGUGAAUUAUUUCACAGAAGUAAUGAGAGUGAAUUUUAGAAUGAAAUUAUUACUUACUCUUUACUAGAAAUAUUGACAUUAACUUACUUUCACCCCCUUUUAUUAGCAUUAUAUAUAGAUGUGGAAUCUGAUUUUCAUGCUAAAGUUCCUGUUGUGGUGUGCAAAGAUCGGAAAAGGUUGGUAAUGAAGAAAAUAAGGUAUUUAUAAAAACUAACAAAAGCCUGUAUGGCUCAGGAGAUGGCUCAGUGGGUAAAGGGCUUGCUGCACAAACACGAGACCUGAGGACUUGAGUUUGGAUCCCCAGCACCUAGAUAACAAGCUGGGUCAUCUUCCUGGAAAAAACAGGAAGUUUCUAGGGACAUGCUGGGCAGCCAGCUUAUCUAAAAUGUUGAGCUUCAGGUUUAGUGAGAGACCCUGUUUCAAAUAGGAACAUAAAGAACAGUAGUCAGAGAUACCCACAAUUUAUGUACCUCUGCUUAUUAUACACAUGUGUGACUGUAUCUGUCCAUGUUUGUGAAUAUAUACAUAAACAUGUACAUACACUUGCAAGAACAUAUUCACAUGCAUAUGCACACUCACCCCAGGGUCAGCAAGAUGGCUCAUUUGCCACAUAAAUCUGACAAAUUGAGUUCUAUUCCUUGGAUUCCAUAUAAGCCAUUAAUCAUAAACACUUACAUGGUAUUUACACAGGGUUCCCUCCCCCCC
Molecule: long non-coding RNA, 1516 nt
Filed under: Mus musculus (house mouse)
Lineage: Eukaryota; Metazoa; Chordata; Mammalia; Rodentia; Muridae
Description: long non-coding RNA chr4:108502048-108503564
Source: RNAcentral